CCUACGGGAGGCAGCAGUGGGGAAUCUUGCGCAAUGGGCGAAAGCCUGACGCAGCAACGCCGCGUGCGGGAUGAAGGCCUUAGGGUUGUAAACCGCUUUCAGCAGGGAAGAAAAUGACUGUACCUGCAGAAGAAGGUGCGGCCAACUACGUGCCAGCAGCCGCGGUGACACGUAGGCACCAAGCGUUGUCCGGAUUUAUUGGGCGUAAAGAGCUCGUAGGCGGUUCAGUUAGUUGGGUGUGAAAACUCCGGGCUUAACCCGGAGCCGCCACCCAAUACUGCUGUGACUAGAGUUCGGUAGGGGAGCGGGGAAUUCCUAGUGUAGCGGUGAAAUGCGCAGAUAUUAGGAGGAACACCGGUGGCGAAGGCGCCGCUCUGGGCCGAAACUGACGCUGAGGAGCGAAAGCAUGGGUAGCAAACAGGAUUAGAUACCCUGGUAGUCCAUGCCGUAAACGUUGGGCACUAGGUGUGGGCUUCAUCCAACGAAGUCCGCGCCGUCGCUAACGCAUUAAGUGCCCCGCCUGGGGAGUACGGUCGCAAGCUAAAACUCAAAUGAAUUGACGG
This 563-nucleotide ribosomal RNA is filed under the name uncultured bacterium. Its description in RNAcentral is "bacterial SSU rRNA". It matches the Rfam family "Bacterial small subunit ribosomal RNA", at positions 338 to 916 of the family's 1533-position model. The record is from RNAcentral.